This 409-nucleotide long non-coding RNA is filed under the name Homo sapiens (human). RNAcentral describes it as "HSALNT0015734". Lineage: Eukaryota; Metazoa; Chordata; Mammalia; Primates; Hominidae. The record is from RNAcentral.
CAGAGGUCCAGGUCCGGGAGAUGACAGUGGCUCCCAGAAAGCCCAGGAUUCAAUCGCUGAGAGAGUGCUUAGGCCCGAAUGCCGGCCCAAAUCGUUCUACUCACCGUGUCGGAGGCCGAGAGCGAUGAGAGUACAGGGAAGUGAGGAAGAGGGGGUGGCCGCCAGGCUCCUCCGCUUCCCUGGGUCCACCGCGGAUCCCUCCCGCUUGUCAGGAGGCGGCCAGCGGUCUCAGGACGGGCGCUUUGGAGCCGGCCCCAGGCAGCGUGUGUCGGUCGCCUAGUCUGGAGAACUAGUCCUCGACUCACGUGCAAGGAUGAUGCUGAAAGGAAUAACAAGGCUUAUCUCUAGGAUCCAUAAGGCCAAGCAUGGGGAUCAGCACGAGGGUCAGCACUACAACAUCUCCCCCCAG